UACGUAGGUGGCGAGCGUUGUCCGGAAUUACUGGGUGUAAAGGGCGUGUAGGCGGGAUUGUAAGUCAGAUGUGAAAUUCCAGAGCUUAACUCUGGCGCUGCAUCUGAAACUGCGAUUCUUGAGUGCUGGAGAGGAUAGUGGAAUUCCUAGUGUAGCGGUGAAAUGCGUAGAUAUUAGGAGGAACACCAGUGGCGAAGGCGGCUAUCUGGACAGUAACUGACGCUGAGGCGCGAAAGCGUGGGGAGCAAAC
RNAcentral lists this ribosomal RNA (250 nucleotides) under uncultured bacterium. RNAcentral's name for it is "partial 16S ribosomal RNA". It matches the Rfam family "Bacterial small subunit ribosomal RNA", at positions 524 to 773 of the family's 1533-position model. The record is from RNAcentral.